AUUGAACGCUGGCGGCAGGCCUAACACAUGCAAGUCGAACGGUAACAGGAAACAGCUUGCUGUUUCGCUGACGAGUGGCGGACGGGUGAGUAAUGUCUGGGAAACUGCCUGAUGGAGGGGGAUAACUACUGGAAACGGUAGCUAAUACCGCAUAACGUCGCAAGACCAAAGAGGGGGACCUCGGGCCUCUUGCCAUCGGAUGUGCCCAGAUGGGAUUAGCUUGUUGGUGGGGUAACGGCUCACCAAGGCGACGAUCCCUAGCUGGUCUGAGAGGAUGACCAGCCACACUGGAACUGAGACACGGUCCAGACUCCUACGGGAGGCAGCAGUGGGGAAUAUUGCACAAUGGGCGCAAGCCUGAUGCAGCCAUGCCGCGUGUAUGAAGAAGGCCUUCGGGAUGUAAAGUACUUUCAGCGGGGAGGAAGGGAGUAAAGUUAAUACCUUUGCUCAUUGACGUUACCCGCAGAAGAAGCACCGGCUAACUCCGUG
RNAcentral lists this ribosomal RNA (489 nucleotides) under uncultured bacterium. RNAcentral's name for it is "partial 16S ribosomal RNA". It matches the Rfam family "Bacterial small subunit ribosomal RNA", at positions 30 to 507 of the family's 1533-position model. The record is from RNAcentral.